GCCGGGAUGGCGGAAUGGUAGACGCAGCGGACUUAAAAUCCGCGGGGGGAAACCCCGUCCGGGUUCGAGCCCCGGUCCCGGUA
Molecule: transfer RNA, 83 nt
Filed under: Candidatus Latescibacterota bacterium
Lineage: Bacteria; Pseudomonadati; Candidatus Latescibacterota
Also listed under: 1 other name
Description: tRNA-Leu
Rfam family: tRNA
About the family: Transfer RNA (tRNA) molecules are approximately 80 nucleotides in length. Their secondary structure includes four short double-helical elements and three loops (D, anti-codon, and T loops).
Source: RNAcentral